AGCGAGAUAGAGAAGCUAGGAGUACUCGCGAGGCUCAUAACCUCGAGAUCGGUGGAAAUAGAGGCUUAGUUGCCUUAUUGCCGUAUUCAAAUCCACCUCUCGCUA
RNAcentral lists this transfer RNA (105 nucleotides) under Candidatus Woesearchaeota archaeon. RNAcentral describes it as "tRNA-Met". Lineage: Archaea; Nanobdellati; Candidatus Woesearchaeota. The record is from RNAcentral.